This 440-nucleotide ribosomal RNA is filed under the name uncultured bacterium. RNAcentral's name for it is "bacterial SSU rRNA". It matches the Rfam family "Bacterial small subunit ribosomal RNA", at positions 28 to 451 of the family's 1533-position model. The record is from RNAcentral.
GAUGAACGCUGGCGGCGUGCUUAACACAUGCAAGUCGAACGGGAAACAUUUCAUUGAAGCUUCGGCAGAUUUGGUCUGUUUCUAGUGGCGGACGGGUGAGUAACGCGUGGGUAACCUGCCUUAUACUGGGGGAUAACAGCCAGAAAUGGCUGCUAAUACCGCAUAAGCGCACAGGAUCGCAUGGUCCGGUGUGAAAAACUCCGGUGGUAUAAGAUGGACCCGCGUUGGAUUAGCUAGUUGGCAGGGCAGCGGCCUACCAAGGCGACGAUCCAUAGCCGGCCUGAGAGGGUGAACGGCCACAUUGGGACUGAGACACGGCCCAGACUCCUACGGGAGGCAGCAGUGGGGAAUAUUGCACAAUGGGGGAAACCCUGAUGCAGCGACGCCGCGUGAAGGAAGAAGUAUCUCGGUAUGUAAACUUCUAUCAGCAGGGAAGAUAA